CCCAGACUCCUACGGGAGGCAGCAGUGGGGGAUAUUGCACAAUGGGGGGAACCCUGAUGCAGCGACGCCGCGUGGGUGAAGGAGCGUUUCGGCGCGUAAAGCCCUAUCGGCAGGGAAGAAGGAGGACGGUACCUGACUAAGAAGCCCCGGCUAACUACAUGCCAGCAGCCGCGGUAAUACGUAGGGGGCAAGCGUUAUCCGGAUUUACUGGGUGUAAAGGGGGCGCAGACGGCAGCGCAAGCCAGGAGUGAAAGCCCGGGGCCCAACCCCGGGACUGCUCUUGGAACUGCGCGGCUGGAGUGCAGGAGGGGCAGGCGGAAUUCCUGGUGUAGCGGUGAAAUGCGUAGAUAUCAGGAGGAACACCGGUGGCGAAGGCGGCCUGCUGGACUGCGACUGACGUUGAGGCCCGAAAGCGUGGGGAGCAAACAGGAUUAGAUACCCGAGUACA
This 448-nucleotide ribosomal RNA is filed under the name uncultured bacterium. RNAcentral's name for it is "partial 16S ribosomal RNA". It matches the Rfam family "Bacterial small subunit ribosomal RNA", at positions 330 to 797 of the family's 1533-position model. The record is from RNAcentral.